AGCAGUGAUCUUCCUUCUAGAGGCUUGUUGGAACUCCAAACACAUACCCCUGACAGAUACAACAGGGAUUAAUGAGCCAUGACCAGAAGUUUGAUUUUUCUGUCAAGUGCUCCCAUCCGUCUUUAAUAAACAGAAGAACAACAUAAACUCCAUUGCCUGCUUUCCACUGCUGAAACUGAGCUGGCUGUUCCUGGUACCAUGUGUGUUGAGCUGAGUUAUGAUUCUAAAUGACUUGACAAACGCUUUUACAAGCCCCUUUGGUCUGCUACUCUGGUGACUGGCUUUGCUCCCCAAGUUCCAUUUCUCUGCCUCUGUUCAACGUGGGCAGCUCAGUGCUUUGCCAGUGGAAACCGUCAAAUGUAAUAUCACAUUUACAACUAAAUGACUUCAAUUUAGUGUCACUGGUGCACUAUCUGUGGUGUAAAACUGCCAAAAUACCCACUGUUUUCCCUUUAAGCCAUGCUGUGUGCUUUUUUGCAGAAGGCUGUCUCCUGCGAGGACCAGAAGUUGAGCCAAGGCACAUGGAACUUACAAUAGCAGAUGGUAAGAACCAGGGCAGAAGGAGAACUCCUGAAGCCUCCGAAGGAAGGAAAUCAUUACAGGGCCCUACAGAAGUAGGUCAUGUGCUACAGCUGCUCAUAGUUUAAGAGGAAGAAACAUGGGACCUCAAACCUGGAACACGACUCUUUCAAAAUGCUUGUGAGCAACCCAAGAAAAACAUCCUCCUGAGGCUUAUCUAAUAACCAUGAUCUCUAAUCGUCUCAAUGUGUGCUCAUGUUUCCUUAGGAGUUUGCACCCACUUCUCAGAGCUAACGAGAUGCCGAAACAGAACACAGAAAAAAGUAAUGAAGGAGAUUUAAUAGUUUGUGUUAAAGCUAAUAUGGUCCAUUAGCAGCUGUCAUUUUUAUAAACAAUGAGGAUACGUUACCCUCUUCUUUGGUGUAAAGUCAUUCCAUGCAGGACCUGUAAACAUUCAGUAAUGAUCUGUAGAACAUGCAUGAACGACAAUUAAAGCGCCACUUGAAAAGUCUGUUUUCCUCACAUAUUUGUUUUCUUGCUAAAUAAACUUGUAAAGUUCA
Molecule: long non-coding RNA, 1079 nt
Organism: Gorilla gorilla gorilla (western lowland gorilla)
Lineage: Eukaryota; Metazoa; Chordata; Mammalia; Primates; Hominidae
Exons: 2
Source: RefSeq, a predicted model, not a curated record